This 465-nucleotide ribosomal RNA is filed under the name uncultured bacterium. Its description in RNAcentral is "bacterial SSU rRNA". It matches the Rfam family "Bacterial small subunit ribosomal RNA", at positions 338 to 795 of the family's 1533-position model. The record is from RNAcentral.
CCUACGGGCCGCACCAGUGGGGAAUAUUGCACAAUGGGCGCAAGCCUGAUGCAGCUAUGCCGCGUGUAUGAAGAAGGCCUUAGGGUUGUAAAGUACUUUCAGUUGGGAGGAAGGCGUUGAUGCUAAUAUCAUCAACGAUUGACGUUACCCGCAGAAGAAGCACCGGCUAACUCCGUGCCAGCAGCCGCGGUAAUACGGAGGGUGCAAGCGUUAAUCGGAAUUACUGGGCGUAAAGCGCACGCAGGCGGUUUGUUAAGUCAGAUGUGAAAUCCCCGGGCUCAACCUGGGAACUGCAUUCGAAACUGGCAGGCUAGAGUCUUGUAGAGGGGGGUAGAAUUCCAGGUGUAGCGGUGAAAUGCGUAGAGAUCUGGAGGAAUACCGGUGGCGAAGGCGGCCCCCUGGACAAAGACUGACGCUCAGGUGCGAAAGCGUGGGGAGCAAACAGGAUUAGAUACCCUCGUAGUC